RNAcentral lists this long non-coding RNA (758 nucleotides) under Panax ginseng (ginseng). Its description in RNAcentral is "long non-coding RNA (PGIN_LNC004444)". The record is from RNAcentral. Lineage: Eukaryota; Viridiplantae; Streptophyta; Magnoliopsida; Apiales; Araliaceae.
UACAAUAUAUAUAGAUAGAUAGAUAUUUCCAUCUUACUCAUAUUUAUGUGUUAAUUCGCGUGUGUAUGAAAUUAUUAAAAAGUAGCAGAUACGAGAGAAUGCAAUCGGUGAAGGAGAAGGUGAGCAACGCGGCCAGUGCUGGGAAGGAGCAUGUUGAAAUCUACAAAGCCAAAGUUCAAGAGAAGGUUUAAGUAUUAGUAUUUCCACCCUACCCUUUUCAAUCUUAAUUUGUUACGUACCUAUUUACUUUUCAUAAAACAUUCAUAUAUAAAGUAAGUAAGUCAGUCAGUCAGUCAGUCAGAGUCAGAGAGUUGCUUAAUUAAUUUGUUUAUGAUGAUAUUUACAGGCUGAGAAAGCAACAGCAAGAACAAAGGAAGAAGAAGUAAUAACUCAUGAAAAAAGGAAAGCCAAGGAAGCUGAAGCGAAGAUGAAGCUGCAUGAAGCCAAAGCUAAACACGCGGCUGAUAAACUCUACGGGAAGCACUCCCUUCACCACCCCCAUCCCCACCCCCAUGCUCCUGUUGAAGCCGUAGCCCCGGCUGCAGGCCAAGGCCACCACCACCACCUGUUACCCCCGACUACGGCUCCUACGUACCCUCCUGGACAUAAUACCUAGCUAGCCGGAUCAGUCAUUUUGACUAAUUACAUCUAGUUGUGUGUUUUUGUUUCUUGAGAUAAUAGAUGGAGGAUGUAAGCUUGGCUUGGGUCAAAUUAUGCUUGUCAAAUGAAUUGUUUUGUUUGCUCAAUUAGUACCACCC